This 21-nucleotide microRNA is filed under the name Chlamydomonas reinhardtii. RNAcentral's name for it is "cre-miR1172.2". The record is from miRBase by way of RNAcentral. Lineage: Eukaryota; Viridiplantae; Chlorophyta; Chlorophyceae; Chlamydomonadales; Chlamydomonadaceae.
UAGGAUCGGAGACGCAGUGAA